CCCGCGGCCCUACAUAUACAGCGCCACACGCCCCACCCCCGUCUCGACCUCACGAUCCAAGCCAACAACAAUUAUACUACGACCCGACACGCCCCCUCCCUCAGUCCCUCUCUUCAUCAAUCUUUCUCCCGUCCCCCAAACCUCUCGAUCUCGGAGCAGCGAUGACUCGCGGCGACCAGAGGGAGCGGGACAGGCAGAGGGCGCAGGCGCGGAAGCCGGGGACCAAGGGCCGCGACGACGGGCUCACGCCGGAGCAGCGACGAGAGAGGGACGCCAAGGCGCUGCAGGAGAAGACCGCAAAGAAGGCGGCGCAGGCCACGCAGGGGGCCGACGACGCCAAGAAGAAGAACGUCGCCGGCAAGAAAUAGUUCGGAUCCGUUCUGUCUGUCUCAUGAAUUGUCAUGAAGUGGAGAGAUGUUCUGAUGUAGAAUUUCUGUGCGAUGUGGUUGCGCUCGGCUUGUAGCACAAUUCUUUCGGCGCCUCCAGAUCAGGCCCCUGUUGUUGAUGCGUAAUUCGUGGAUCUUCAAUGCAAUGAGAUUAAUUUGGUCGUUACAUCCUCUUUUCAUCCGAAAUUGUCGCCGGAAUUCCUGACCAGCGUUUUGUAGCUUUUGUCUCACGUUGUCUGAUUUGUGCAGUUAGGGCAUCUCAACGUUGACCCUUAAACCGUCCAACGUGGUCUUAACCCCUUGAUUUUGGUGUUUUGACCCUUUUACGAAAGUUUAACCGAAUCUAAUCUGAAAGUGUUUUGACUUUUUUACGAAAGUUUAGC
RNAcentral lists this ribosomal RNA (769 nucleotides) under Triticum aestivum (bread wheat). RNAcentral's name for it is "partial small subunit ribosomal RNA". The record is from RNAcentral. Lineage: Eukaryota; Viridiplantae; Streptophyta; Magnoliopsida; Poales; Poaceae.